RNAcentral lists this non-coding RNA (90 nucleotides) under Vogesella sp. EB. RNAcentral describes it as "Glycine riboswitch aptamer". It matches the Rfam family "Glycine riboswitch aptamer". Rfam says of the family: This family represents the bacterial glycine riboswitch. RNAcentral also lists the same sequence under 1 other name. The record is from Rfam by way of RNAcentral. Lineage: Bacteria; Pseudomonadati; Pseudomonadota; Betaproteobacteria; Neisseriales; Chromobacteriaceae.
CAAGCCGCUGCAGGAGAGACUGUCAUUCGCUGACAGCGCCGAAGGGGAAUCGCCCCGGAAACUCUCAGGCAAAAGAACUGCAGCGACGUC